CACUCCUACGGGAGGCAGCAGUGGGGAAUUUUGGACAAUGGGCGAAAGCCUGAUCCAGCAAUGCCGCGUGAGUGAAGAAGGCCUUCGGGUUGUAAAGCUCUUUUGUCAGGGAAGAAACGGUGAAAGCUAAUAUCUUUUGCUAAUGACGGUACCUGAAGAAUAAGCACCGGCUAACUACGUGCCAGCAGCCGCGGUAAUACGUAGGGUGCAAGCGUUAAUCGGAAUUACUGGGCGUAAAGCGUGCGCAGGCGGUUUUGUAAGUCUGAUGUGAAAUCCCCGGGCUCAACCUGGGGAUUGCAUUGGAGACUGCAAGGCUAGAAUCUGGCAGAGGGGGGUAGAAUUCCACGUGUAGCAGUGAAAUGCGUAGAUAUGUGGAGGAACACCGAUGGCGAAGGCAGCCCCCUGGGUCAAGAUUGACGCUCAUGCACGAAAGUGUGGGGAGCAAACAGGAUUAGAUACCCGGGUAGUCCC
This 471-nucleotide ribosomal RNA is filed under the name uncultured organism. RNAcentral's name for it is "partial 16S ribosomal RNA". It matches the Rfam family "Bacterial small subunit ribosomal RNA", at positions 334 to 797 of the family's 1533-position model. The record is from RNAcentral.